This 7247-nucleotide long non-coding RNA is filed under the name Lactuca sativa (garden lettuce). Its description in RNAcentral is "long non-coding RNA (LSAT_LNC009389)". The record is from RNAcentral. Lineage: Eukaryota; Viridiplantae; Streptophyta; Magnoliopsida; Asterales; Asteraceae.
AAUUAGAUUAUUAAUUAUUAUGGUUAAGAAUUAAUUAGAAACUAAUUGGAAAUAUAUUUUGGAAAUAUAUUAUGGGAAUUAAUUAACAGUUUAAUUAAUUAAAGGGUUGAAUGUUCAUUAAUCGAUAGUUGGUUAAUCAGGAAUGUUCCAGAACCCUUAUGGAAUUAGGGUUGGAUGAAAAUCACUCCAUCCCACAUGGGAAAGAAGUGAAAUUUCGUGGUUAGGCCUCCAUCCCACAUGGGAAGGAGUACUAAACCUAAGCAGGCAUCCAAGGCUAUAAAUAGGGCCUUAGGGAUUCCAUUCCUCCUUGCACCUUGGCUUAAGUAUUCGCCAACCCUUCUUCCUCCCCCUCUUAGGGACGAUUUCUAACCCCUUUGGGUUUGUGAAAUUGACCCUUCUCCUAGUUAUUUUUAUUCCACUCUUUGGUGUCAUUGGGUGUGAUACCAUUAGAGGGAUUCUGGUUUGGGUCCUUUCAUCCAAGCAACUUCAUGGAGGUUCAAGAUAUCAAGCAUGGAGAUCAAGGGAAUCAUAAGAGGUAUGUUUUCUUACUUAUGUCUUAGUUUUCUAGGGUUUAUAUAAUUAGCAUGAAGCCAUAGAUCCAUAGGAUUCAUGUACACUUAGGUAUAUCGUAGUUUCGAUUUUUCCGCUGCCUAGUUUAGAGUGCAUUUGAUGCGUAGAAAACUCAACAGUGGUAUCAGAGCCAUUGGUUCAUGGUUACUUUCACCCUAGAUCCAUGUUUUCUGUAAAAACUUGUUUGAAAUUGAAUGGUAGAAUGAUUAUUGAAAAAUUCGUAAUGGUUAAAACCCUACUUGCAGCUCACGACGUGAGAGCUAUGAGCUCACGACGUGAGCUCGGCAGAAUUAGGGUUUUCAGAUUUUUGCCAUUUUUCAAAUAUGAAGGCUUAUUAAAUAUGGAUAAAUACCUAAUUUAAAUUGUUUAAAUCUGGAAAAUAGUGGAUAAAUAUUAUUUAAAUGUGUUUAUUUAAAUUUGAAUAUUUAUUUGAUGAUUGAUAUAUAUUAUUUAAGUGUGUUUAUUUAAAUUUGAAUAUUUAUGGAUAAAUAUUAUUUAAUCUUAUUUUAAAUUUGAAUAUUUAUUAUUUAAAUAAUGAUUUCAAAUAUUUUAAUAUUAUUCAUAAUAGAGUUUUAUAAAUUUGAAUAUUAAUCCCCUCAUGAUUUAUUAAUUGUUACAUUGCGUCCUCGCAGUUAAUUAGAAUUAAUAAUAGACAACUAAAUUUAAAGAGUUUUAAAUUUACCCCUUAUAUUUAUAUAUAUUAGAAUUGUGUCUAUUAUAUGUAUAAAAAAGUUACAACAUGCGCCCUCGCGUGUUUAAAUAUUGACAUUGUCAGUCUUACAUCGACUAGGCUCACCCGUUCUAAUGUAGGGGUUUAAGGAGGUCUCUUUGAUUCCUAAUGAGGUCGGUUUUUAAUAUGCUUCGCGUUUACCACCCUCACCGCCCAAUUGCAUUUUGUGAAUGGAGUUACCGAAAGGGUUUGAUAGUGAUAAUGGUCAAUCUAAAAGUAUUUUAAAUACAAGUAUAAAACAAAAUCCCGUUUUAAUAAUAGAAUGUGAGUUUAUAUUAUCCAUGAAAAUUGCACAUUCUCUUUAUAUUCUGUUGGUGGAGCUCGUGUGGUUAACCGACACAUCAAUCUAGGGUAUAGUUGAGAAUGAUAUGGAACUCGCGAAUCUCAAGUGUAACUUGAGUCGGGGGCCAUGCGAUUUUCCAAGGUUAAUUCUCAAUCUAUUUAAUGUGAAUCUUAUGUUAUCCAUAAAAGUUGCACAUUCUCUUUAUAACUUGUUGAUGGAGCUCGCGUGGUUAACCGACACGUCAAUUAGAGAGUAUAAGUAAAGAAUGAUGUGGAACUCGUGAAUCUCAAGCGUAACUUGAGUCGGGGACCAUGCAGUUUUGUAUGGUCGAUUCACCAUCUGUUUAAUGAUCUGCGGCGACCCCGUCAUUGAAUUUGAGAUGAACAUAAUUCGAGAUUAACAUGCCAUUGAUAGUCAAUGAAUCUCAAAGAACUAGGAAUUUCAUGGUGAUCGAAAUUGGCAAAGGGCUUUGCUCACCUAAAUAACUUUAUGGUGUGUUUACGGCAUCCCUUUACACAUCAUGGAGCCAAAUAUGGAUCCUAGCCUUUUAAAAUAAUUUUUUUAGGGUGAUUAUUUUCUAAGGAUAAGUAAAACAAACUAUAAUGGAAUUUGUUAUUGAAUGAUGUCUAUAACCUUAUACACUAAACUCUACUGCUAUAAAACCUUUGAAAGGAUUAGCUAUGAGGAUGAUCAAUCUUGUCAAAUUCAUAGUUUGGGAGUAGUUCUCAUAAACGAAAGGAAAGAUCAUGUCUUUGUUAAAGCUAUUCCUUGGUUACUUCAAACAUUGCAUUCUAAAGUGUUAGAAAGAGAAAUUGUAAAAUGUACAUUGUAAAAUGACAUAUUGAAGUAAAAUGGAAUUUCCUUGAGUUAGGAGUUGACUAUGGUUAGUCGACUAGUUAACAUGUACAUAUGAUUAGUUCAUUCUGAUUUUGGUAUGAACAACUUGGAAUGUCCAUUAAGGAGUUUAGUAGCAUGUUGAGGUUUCCUUUUGGAAUUAACAUGGCAGUCAUAGAAACUCAAACUUCAAACACUCCCAUAAAUUUACUAUCAUGAAUAGAAGUGUCAAGAAGAACGCCAAUUGCCCAUGGUUUAACAGGCGAUUAGUGUUGGCAUACCUAAUCUAGGCCCAAAUACCUAGGACAAAGAAAGAAUUAUUAUAAGACAUGUUCUGAUAGCUGCUCGUUUCCAUAACAAGAAAAGGACUAAGAAAGCAAACUUGCCCAAAUGUAUAUUUGAGGUGAAAGAACCGAAACAUGAAGAAGUUAGAUUUGAUCAUGGAUCACGAGCCCGUGCUACUUUCCAUUGGAUCAAAAGAUAACUUGUUCUUCAAUGUUUGGUAUUCAAUCAAAUAUAUGGAUUUAUAAUGCCAUCAAAACAUUACUUCUAAACCUUGAGUAUUUUACUAAGGAUUAGUACAGACAUUUGCAAGAAUGUGCAGUUACUAAAAUGAGGUAAGAAGACUAAACCAUGGAGAAGAUAAUUCGAUCAUGAAUGCCAAUCCCUUGCUACAUUCAUAUGAUAAAAGGACAUCUCUUUUCAAAAUGUGUAGUCUAUGGUGUUAUAAUUUGAAAUUGUUUAUGCUAUGAAACUAGUAUAGUAACAAUAGUUCAAACUUGAUUCAAAUAUUUGAAUAAGGUGUAUUAUUGUGAAUGGAUCGUACAGAUUAAUCACAAUAUGUACUUAUUUAAAUACAUCCAAAUGUUUGGGUGAAAUGUAUUUGUGGAAUCAUAGUCUUGGAUACAUAAAUGAGAAAUGCAUUAUCAAAUAUCCAGUUGGAUCGGAUUUUGGAUAUCAUUUGGCCUUGAGUCUUAUGAUAAAUGCAAAUCUUGUUUAUCAAGAUAGAUGAUGAAUGCAUCACUAGGUGAUGUGAGCAUCUAUUGGAAUUAGUUCACUCUAAUAGACCGUUCAGAUUAACCACGAUACAUGGUGAGACCAACUUCGUAUGAAUGUGAGUCUGGAACCUUUUAGGUGUUCAGAGCUCUCAUAAAGAGAAGUUGAGAAACAAUUGGGCAAUAGGAUGAGACACUCAUAGUGAGAACCUCAGUCCAAACUUUAUCGAUCAUAUAAGUAGUUGUGAAAGAGUUUCAAGAUUUAUCUCCACCCAGAACACUACCACUAGGAAGUGUUAGUUGGAUAGAGAAACAAAUCGUUCAUUGAGUUUGUAUUAGAUGAGUCGCAUUAUGCACACUAACAAUUCGUCGAUUGUACCAUGAAUAGUGUUACAAGAAGUCCUUUGGUCUUGUACCAACUAAGUAGGUUCAUGAAACACUCUAUUGUAUAUGAAGUGGGAUUUAGUCCUCACUACCACAUAUGCAAGUCUACGAUUAUGAGGCUUACGCUCGUCGUGAAGCGCUCGACAAUCUAGAACUUUUAAUAGAGAUGUGUUAACUCGUUGGAGAACCUAUAAAGCAUUUUGGAUAAUUCUUUAAGAAUCCUUAUGAGAGAAAAGUGUAUGUUGCUUAAAGGGCAGUCUUCCAGGUGAAGGAGCUGAUUUCCAAAAGAGCUAGUGGAAGAUACAUUGAUCUUGAUAAGAUUCGAGAGUCAACCAACGAAGAGCCUAAAGUUGUACAUAGCAUUCAAUUUGGAAUUGAAAGAGCUAUUAAGGAAACUGACAUAUUUCCAUUUUUCCUUAUAGAUAUGAUAGAAGACGUCAUGAACCUAGUUAUAUAAGAGUUUAUAUUACUGAGGUAAAUAGUCACUGUUAUGGAGCAAUUAGAGUGUACCAGCUAUUGGAAGCUAUGGUAGGCCCUAAAGGCUACAACAUGGAAGGAAGACUUGGAAAGCGAGAUUCAAUCCAUGUAUGUUGUAAUUUGGUAGAUCAAGCACUUGACCUUAACCCUUUGGUGCAAGUGGAUCUUCAAGAAGAGACAAGUAUGGAUAGGAAAAAAUACAUAAUCAAACCAAGAAAGGUUGUGAAGGAUGUAUAAGAUUAAUAAGUUCAUUUAUGGACCAAAAUAAGCAUCUCGCGAGUGGGAUCAUUAUUUCAAUGAGAAAGUUCAAAGAGUUUGAAUUUCAAGAAAUAAAGAUAAGCCAUAUGUAUGUCAAAGCUAGUGGGAGUAAAUGGAAUCUUUGUUUCAAUGAGAAAGUUCAAGGAGUUUGAAAUUCGAGAAACAUAGAUAAGCCAUAUAUAUGUCAGUGCUAGUGGGAGCACUAUAGUCACCCUUGUAUUGUACAUAGACAAUGUACGAUUUAUAGGAAACUAUAUUCUAACUUAGUAGGUUUAAAAGCUUGGCUUGGUAUGAGAAUCGUUUCACUAUGAUAUAUAUGGGAGAUACAAAACACGUACAUAAUAAGGAUCUAUGGAGAUAGAUCAAAGUGAUUCAUUGGAUUAAGCCAAAGUACAUGGAAUGUUGAGGAAACUCGAUAUGCAGAACUCAAAAAAGGAGUGUAGGCUGGCAUAACAUUGAGCAAUGCUAAUGUUCUAGUUCUACUAUUGAGCUAAAGCAAAUUAUUCAUGUCCCACAUGCUUCUGUUAUGGGAUCGAUCAUAAAUGCCAUGACAUGUACUAGAUCUAAUGACUAGUAUGCCUUGAGCAUGACAGGUUUGAUUAGAUCAAUUUGGAAAAAAAUCAAUGAAUCAAAAUCAAGAACAUUCUUAAGAGUCCUUGGAGGACAGAAGAAAUGAUCUUGAUAGUAUGGAAGAGAUCAUUGUAAGAGUUACAUUGAUUCUAUGUUCCAUACUAAUAAAGGCAAUUCCGUUCGCAGUCGGAAUUCGUGCUUUUAUUGAAUGGUGAUAUAUAUUAUCUUGAAAGAGUACCAUGUAAUACACCAUAGUGGAUUUAACAUACUUGGAGUAUAUUGCAGUUGGUUAAAUUGAAAAGAAGACUAUGUGACUAAAAGAGAUUCAUUAGUGACAUCUUUGUUGAGAUUCAAUAAUUGAUGGUCCUUAUGAUGUUUCUUGUGACUUUGGGUGAACUUACCUCGAGUAUGGAUCCCAAGUCACACAAGCUCACAUGAAACAUACUCAGUAAGUACCAACACGUUUGAUAGCGAGUCAAAUGUAAAGACAUCAUAGUCAAUAUGCCAUAUCGAAAGAUAAUCUUGUCGAUCCAUUCCAUAAGCUGAUAUCAUUGACCAAGUCUGACAGUCAGACAAAGUCAAGAGGCAUUAGAUUUGCAAAUGAAUUAGUAUAAGCACUCUUAGUAUGGUUUGUUUUAAAACCCGAGAACUUUAAGCGAUAUAAGAUUUAAUUUGAUUUGGUGAUUAUUAAGUGGUGAUCUCAAUAUAUGAUGGAUUUCGGUCAUUUCAAUUAGCUUAUCACUGUGUUCUCACUUUUCCAUGUUUGGAACCCACUUUCCGAGUAUUACUUUACUCAAACGUCCACAGUCGGUCAUACUCUUGGAAGUAAGUAGUGAUUCAAUACUAUCGUGAGUAUUAGUGGAUUGUCCAUAUUGGUUGGACAUAGCAUAGUGACUGCGCUAACACUCAUGAGUNUAAUAGAGAUUUAAGUAUUGGACCAACCCACGCUUAGAUAUUACUUCAUGGAUUCAGUCACGAGUAAUUCUAAGACGAUAAUAUCUUCUAUUCUUCAAACCUAGAUACAUGUGGGGUUUUGCUUUAUGAUUCUGUUAUGCAUUGGUCUAAUCCAACGCUAACCGUAACUGGUAGCUAUAAAGGGUAUGUCCAUGCGUGACAUGAUGAGAUAGACAAAAACUAUGUAGUCAAAUUUUAUUCGUUCCUUCUGCCUUAAUAGGAGAAUCGAUAUCUAUGGGCCCCUCGAUGAUUUGGUGCUGACAUCUAAAGUGCUUGGCCAAGCCCUGACUGGAAUUGAUGUGUUCAAUUUAGUAGUCAGAUGCAGUCAUCACAAAUCCAUAUCGGGAAACAUAAUCUUGAAUUCUUGAGAUUGACCAUUAUCCAUGUCUCGAAUUCAUACAGAUAUCAUAGAACGAAGGGAUAGUUGAUCACUUAUCUAAGGGCUGAAUCUUGAUUGGAUCAAGAGUUCGGUAGUUGCAUUGGAUGGCUAACUCUCUGUUGAUUAUUGGAGAAAUAUUAGUCCUCAUAUAGUUGAUGACUUGUCCAAGUGGGAGACUGUUAGAAUAGUGUCCAAGGUCAUUAACUAUUGGUCAUAUUUCUAAUAAUAGUAGGGUCCUUUUGGGUUGCCCUCAAGACCCAAAUUGAGUAGAAUAAAUAAAGGAGAAAUUGGUUUAUUAAUUAUUAUGGUUAAUAAUUAAUUAGAAACUAAUUGGAAAUAUAUUUUGGAAAUAUAUUAUGGGAAUUAAUUAACAGUUUAAUUAAUUAAAAGGUUGAAUGUUCAUUAAUCGAUAGUUGGUUAAUCAGGAAUGUUCCAGAACCCUUAUGGAAUUAGGAUUGGAUGAAAAUCACUCCAUCCCACAUGGGAAAGGAGUGAAAUUUCGUGGUUAGGCCUCCAUCCCACAUGGGAAGGAAUACUAAACCUAAGGAGGCAUCCAAGGCUAUAAAUAGGGCCUUAAGGAUUCCAUUCCUCCUUGCACCUUGGCUUGAGUAUUCGCCAAACCUUCUUCUUCCCCCUCUUAAGGACGAUUUCUAACCCCUUUGGGUUUGUGAAAUUGACCCUUCUGCUAGUUAUUUUUAUUCCACUCUUUGGUGUCAUUGGGUGUGAUACCAUUAGAGGGAUUCUGGUGUGGGUCCUUUCAUCCAAGCAACUUCAUGGAGGUUCAAGAUCUCAAGCAUGGAGAUCAAGGGCAUC